GACGAACGCUGGCGGCGUGCUUAACACAUGCAAGUCGAACGGAAAGGCCCUGCUUUUUUGGGGUGCUCGAGUGGCGAACGGGUGAGUAACACGUGAGUAACCUGCCCUUGACUUUGGGAUAACUUCAGGAAACUAGGGCUAAUACCGGAUAGGAUCUCCUGCUGCAUGGUGGGGGUUGGAAAGUUUCGGCGGUUGGGGAUGGACUCGCGGCUUAUCAGCUUGUUGGUGGGGUAGUGGCUUACCAAGGCUUUGACGGGUAGCCGGCCUGAGAGGGUGACCGGCCACAUUGGGACUGAGAUACGGACCAGACUCCUACGGGAGGCAGCAGUGGGGAAUAUUGCACAAUGGGCGGAAGCCUGAUGCAGAAACGCCGCGUGCGGGAUGACGGCCUUCGGGUUGUAAACCGCUUUCGCCUGUGACGAAGCGUGAGUGACGGUAAUGGGUAAAGAAGCACCGGCUAACUACGUG
RNAcentral lists this ribosomal RNA (468 nucleotides) under uncultured bacterium. RNAcentral's name for it is "partial 16S ribosomal RNA". It matches the Rfam family "Bacterial small subunit ribosomal RNA", at positions 28 to 507 of the family's 1533-position model. The record is from RNAcentral.